UAACCAUCGACAGUCGUUGUGCUACCGCAACCAUGUCUAAUCACCCAAAACCCCCUUUUCCUCUCAAAUUCUCUUGUUUUCUUCUCCCUAGGGGUUUGGGUUUGUUUUGCCAUAGGAAACUAACACCUUCGGCUAUGACCUAUGAUUGCCACCACUCUGGUGAACCCCCCCCUUCUCCUCUCAUUUCUUUCUUGGCCGAGGUGGCUAUCACUAAGGUAGUUGGGGUGGUGCCCUCUUUCCUCUUG
RNAcentral lists this long non-coding RNA (245 nucleotides) under Elaeis guineensis (African oil palm). RNAcentral describes it as "long non-coding RNA (EGUI_LNC020023)". The record is from RNAcentral. Lineage: Eukaryota; Viridiplantae; Streptophyta; Magnoliopsida; Arecales; Arecaceae.